UGCCGGGACCUGGGAUCGAACCAGGGACCGCUAGAUGUUCAGUCUAGUGCUCUCCCAACUGAGCUAUCCCAAC
RNAcentral lists this transfer RNA (73 nucleotides) under Cordylochernes scorpioides. RNAcentral describes it as "tRNA-Phe". The record is from RNAcentral. Lineage: Eukaryota; Metazoa; Arthropoda; Arachnida; Pseudoscorpiones; Chernetidae.